GGAAGUGUGGCAGAGAUGGAUUAUUGCACCGGUCUUGAAAACCGGCGGUCUGUGAAAGCAGGCCCAAGGGUUCGAAUCCCUUCACUUCCUCCA
Molecule: transfer RNA, 93 nt
Filed under: Erwinia phage Cronus
Lineage: Duplodnaviria; Heunggongvirae; Uroviricota; Caudoviricetes; Pantevenvirales; Straboviridae
Description: tRNA-Ser
Rfam family: tRNA
About the family: Transfer RNA (tRNA) molecules are approximately 80 nucleotides in length.
Source: RNAcentral